UGGGGAAUCUUCCGCAAUGGACGAAAGUCUGACGGAGCAACGCCGCGUGAGUGAAGACGGCCUUCGGGUUGUAAAGCUCUGUGAUCCGGGACGAAAGAGCCUGAGGUGAAUAGCCUAAGGAAGUGACGGUACCGGAAAAGCAAGCCACGGCUAACUACGUGCCAGCAGCCGCGGUAAUACGUAUGGAGCGAGCGUUGUCCGGAAUUAUUGGGCGUAAAGGGUGCGCAGGCGGCUUUACAAGUUGGAUGUGAAAUAUUGUGGCUCAACCACAAACGUGCAUCCAAAACUGCAAAGCUUGAGUUAAGGAGAGGUAAGUGGAAUUCCUGGUGUAGCGGUGGAAUGCGUAGAUAUCAGGAGGAAUACCGGUGGCGAAGGCGACUUACUGGACUUAAACUGACGCUCAGGCACGAAAGCGUGGGGAGCAAACAGG
Molecule: ribosomal RNA, 430 nt
Filed under: Fusobacteriota bacterium
Lineage: Bacteria; Fusobacteriati; Fusobacteriota
Description: Fusobacteria bacterium partial 16S ribosomal RNA
Rfam family: Bacterial small subunit ribosomal RNA
Source: RNAcentral